Molecule: ribosomal RNA, 433 nt
Filed under: uncultured bacterium
Lineage: Bacteria
Description: partial 16S ribosomal RNA
Rfam family: Bacterial small subunit ribosomal RNA
Source: RNAcentral
AACGAACGCUGGCGGCAUGCCUAACACAUGCAAGUCGAACGGAACCUUCGGGUCUUGUGGCGGACGUGUGGGUACCACGUGGGGACCUACCCUUGGGUUAGGAGUACCUCCCUGAGGGGGGUGCUCAUGCCGGAUAGUCUCUUCGGACCAAAGAUUUCUCGCCGUGGGAUGGGCCCGCGUGGGAUUCGCUGGUUGGUAGGGUAAAAGCGUACCAAGGCGACGAUGCAUAGCUGGUCUGAGAGGAUGACCAGCCACACUUGGACUGAGACACGGCCCAGACUCCGACGGGAGGGAGCAGUGGGGAAUAUUGGACAAGGGGCGAUAGUCUGAUCCAGCAAUGCGGGGGAAGUGAGGAAGGCCGUAGGGUUGUAAAGCUGUUUUAGCCGGGAUGAUAAUGACAGUACCGGGAGAAUAAGCUCCGGCUAACUCCGUG